Molecule: ribosomal RNA, 858 nt
Filed under: Lactarius lignyotus
Lineage: Eukaryota; Fungi; Basidiomycota; Agaricomycetes; Russulales; Russulaceae
Description: eukaryotic LSU rRNA
Rfam family: Eukaryotic large subunit ribosomal RNA
Source: RNAcentral
UAACUGCGAGUGAAGCGGGAAAAGCUCAAAUUUAAAAUCUGGCGGUCCUUGGCUGUCCGAGUUGUAAUUUAGAGAAGCGUCUUCCGCGCUGGACCGUGCACAAGUCUCCUGGAAUGGAGCGUCAUAGAGGGUGAGAAUCCCGUCUUUGGCAUGGAUGCCCRGUGCUUCUGUGAUGCGCUCUCAAAGAGUCGAGUUGUUUGGGAAUGCAGCUCAAAAUGGGUGGUGAACUCCAUCUAAAGCUAAAUAUUGGCGAGAGACCGAUAGCGAACAAGUACCGUGAGGGAAAGAUGAAAAGCACUUUGGAAAGAGAGUGAAACAGUACGUGAAAUUGUUGAAAGGGAAACGCUUGAAGUCAGUCGCGUCGUCCGAGACUCAGCCUUGCCUCGGCUUGGUGUACUUCUCGGCUCGACGGGUCAGCAUGAAUUUUGCACCUCGGAUAAUGGCAAGGGAAAGGUGGCACCUUUGCGGGUGUGUUAUAGUCUCHUGUCGCAUGCGAGGGGUGAGAUUGAGGAACUCAGCGUGCGCCUUUGGUGUCGGGGCUUCGGCCCACGUAACGCGCUUAGGAUGCUGGCGUAAUGGCUUUAAACGACCCGUCUUGAAACACGGCCCAAGGAGUCCAACAUGCCCGCGAGUGUUCGGGUGGAAAACCCGUGCGCGUAAUAAAAGUGAAAGUUGGGACCUCUGUCGUGGAGGGCACCGACGCCCGGACCAGACCUUCUGUGACGGAUCUGCGGUAGAGCGUGUAUGUUGGGACCCGAAAGAUGGUGAACUAUGCCUGAAUAGGGUGAAGCCAGAGGAAACUCUGGUGGAGGCUCGUAGCGAUUCUGACGUGCAAAUCGAUCGUCAAAUUUGGGUAUA